Molecule: ribosomal RNA, 497 nt
Filed under: uncultured bacterium
Lineage: Bacteria
Description: partial 16S ribosomal RNA
Rfam family: Bacterial small subunit ribosomal RNA
Source: RNAcentral
GAUGAACGCUGGCGGCGUGCCUAAUACAUGCAAGUCGAGCGGACAGACGAGGAUCUUGCUCGGCUGACGUUAGCGGCGGGCGGGUGAGUAACACGUGGAUACCCUACCUAUAAGACUGGGAUAACUUCGGGAAACCGGAGCUAAUACCGGAUAAUAUAUUGAACCGCGUGGUUCAUUAGAAAAAGACGGUUUUGCUGUCACUUAUAGAGGGAUCCGCGCCGCAUUAGCUAGUUGGUACGGUAACGGCCUACCAAGGCUACGAUGCGUAGCCGACCUGAGAGGGUGAUCGGCCACACUGGAACUGAGACACGGUCCAGACUCCUACGGGAGGCAGCAGUAGGGAAUCUUCCGCAAUGGGCGAAAGCCUGACGGAGCAACGCCGCGUGAGUGAUGAAGGUCUUCGGAUCGUAAAACUCUGUUAUUAGGGAAGAACAAAUGUGUCAGUAACUAUGCACGUCUUGACGGUACCUAAUCAGAAAGCCACGGCUAACUACGUG